Molecule: transfer RNA, 73 nt
Filed under: Stegodyphus mimosarum
Lineage: Eukaryota; Metazoa; Arthropoda; Arachnida; Araneae; Eresidae
Rfam family: tRNA
About the family: Transfer RNA (tRNA) molecules are approximately 80 nucleotides in length. Their secondary structure includes four short double-helical elements and three loops (D, anti-codon, and T loops).
Source: Rfam by way of RNAcentral
GCAUUUGUGGUGUAGUGGUCAGCACACUCGGUGCAUAUUCGAGAAGUCCGAGGUUCGAGUCCCGGCGACGGCA